Molecule: long non-coding RNA, 701 nt
Filed under: Malus domestica (apple)
Lineage: Eukaryota; Viridiplantae; Streptophyta; Magnoliopsida; Rosales; Rosaceae
Description: long non-coding RNA (MDOM_LNC021116)
Source: RNAcentral
UUGCUAAGAUCCAUGAUGGAUGGAUCUCUACAACUUACAUGUCUUGUGAUUCAUAGUUUUAGAAAUAUAUUAUCAAGACUAUCUUAAUAAUGUUUUCAGAAACCCAUAUUAUGUCCAAACAUUGAAUCAACAUUUAGUUGUAGCUAGCAAUCUUCGAAUUAAUUGAAACCAUGACUAUGUCAAAGAUGGUUUCUUCCAAGUCAACCAAUCUCUUUAAUUGUAGUCACCUUAAGCUACCAAUUAGCUACGGUGGUUUCAUUAUUUCGGGUCAAAUGGUACUUUACCAUUUCCUUGAGUAUAUGUCGUAUAUACACUCAAUGUAGUCAUAAGGAUUUUCAUUCUUAUUUCUUUCGAAUUAAGAGGUGUAACUCUAUGACAUAGUCAUAAAGUUCAAACCAUUCAACUGAGACAGUUUAUAAAUCCUUCUCGACUACCUUGGAGCUUGUGGUAUAGGAACUAGGUUGUUUAUAUUUGUUGAUUAUCAUCUUGUCUCUCAAAGAACCCAUUCUUUGAGUUCUAUCUCUUGUUCAUUCGCGCUAUCUUAGGCAAAUCCUAGUGUAGGAUUACAAUGAACUACCCAACAAACAACAUUUGUUAGUUGGUUUAUAGAAGUGAUAGCCAAAUGUUAAUUUAAGGAUAUCCACAAGAUAAUUCUCAAACAAAUAUUUUCUUAUUAGCACACAACCCCAAAUCUUAACUGU